Molecule: long non-coding RNA, 690 nt
Filed under: Marmota monax (woodchuck)
Lineage: Eukaryota; Metazoa; Chordata; Mammalia; Rodentia; Sciuridae
Source: RNAcentral
UUCUGAGGCUCAUAGUUUAAAACUAUAAAUGAUUAGAUCAGAUACAAAUUCAAGUAAGUCAUUUCCUCUAUUUUUCUUUCCUUUAGUAUUAUCAUUAUCUUGAAAUUAAUGAAAAUAAUACCUGAAAAAUUUGCAUAAUAGCACUGGCAUGUAACAAUAAAUUUCAAAUAAAUGCCCAUUAUUAUUCCAUACUUAUUGGCUGGAAAAUCAUUUCAAAUUGGAGGAUACUUUCCGAGUUGUAGAGAUAGAUGCCUAUAUUAGCCACGUGUUAAUAAAUUUAGCUUUUAUUUGAGAUUUAUGAGUCAGGGAAGCCUCCACCAUAUAAAAUAGGCAAUGGUAGAACAGUGAGUUUUGCAAAGUAGGAACAAAGAAACAGAACAACAACAAAAUCUAACUGGUUACAUCAGGUUACUUUUUUUUGUAUAAGGUUUAAAGUCUCUGUAUCCUGGAAUUGUAACAAUUAAAGUUCUGGUUCCUUUGCCACCUGAUGAAGCAAUUGCAGAGACAGAUGGGAGGAGAAUGAGCUUUACUGGCAAGAAGCUGGCAAGUUGGAAGAUUCCAUUUUGCCAGGAUGUUACUUUGGUCAUUUGGUGAAGGCCUGAAGGUCAUUUAGUGGUGCAUGCCUGUAAUCCCAGUGGUGGUUAAGUGCUCCUGUGUUCAAUCCUGGUACUAAAAAAAAAAAAAAAAAAA